Molecule: long non-coding RNA, 210 nt
Filed under: Lathyrus oleraceus (garden pea)
Lineage: Eukaryota; Viridiplantae; Streptophyta; Magnoliopsida; Fabales; Fabaceae
Description: Pisum sativum (pea) long non-coding RNA (PSAT_LNC032117)
Source: RNAcentral
UGAAGCUCGUGUGACGAGCGUAACAGGCGUAACAAACUGAAUGCGUGACGGUCGUAACACGCCCAUGACGGUCGUCACACUCACAUUGCCUGUGACGGUCGUCACACGCCUGUGACGGUCGUCACACUCCCAGAGUCAAAAUUUUGGGGUUCCUGUUUUGUGACUACGCAAGGGUUGUGUUCAUGCAAAACAAUGUCCAUUUCAAAUGAA